AUUGAACGCUGGCGGCAGGCCUAACACAUGCAAGUCGAGCGCGAAAGUCUUCGGAUGAGUAAAGCGGCGAACGGGUGAGUAAUGCAUGGGAACCUGCCUGGUAGUGGGGGACAACGUCUCGAAAGGGACGCUAAUACCGCAUACGCCCUACGGGGAAAGGGGGGAGUCUUCGGACCUCUCGCUAUCAGAUGAGCCCAUGUCAGAUUAGCUAGUUGGUGAGGUAAAGGCUCACCAAGGCGACGAUCUGUAACUGGUCUGAGAGGAUGAUCAGUCACACUGGAACUGAGACACGGUCCAGACUCCUACGGGAGGCAGCAGUGGGGGAAUAUUGGACAAUGGGGGGCGAACCCUGAUCCAGCCAUGCCGCGUGUGUGAAGAAGGCCCUAGGGUUGU
This 393-nucleotide ribosomal RNA is filed under the name uncultured bacterium. RNAcentral's name for it is "bacterial SSU rRNA". It matches the Rfam family "Bacterial small subunit ribosomal RNA", at positions 30 to 426 of the family's 1533-position model. The record is from RNAcentral.